AAAAGGAAGCCUGAACAAGGAACACAAUGAGAAAGCAUGUGAGAUAUUGCACGUGCUGAUUUAUUUGGUUAAUUUUAUUGUGUUUCUAGAGGUAAUGAAGUGGAGCUGCUAAGGGUGAAGGCCAGAGAUGGGCCUUAGGGGGUGCCACCUCCUAACCUGUAUGCUGUGGGUAUGCAUCUCCUCUCAUAGAAAAUGAAGCUGUCUGUCUGCUAAGAGUCCUGGGUAACCUAGCAUGCAAGGGAAGAAAGUUAGACAUGUCAGGACAUGGUGUCAUUUUGGGGUCAAGUGACAAAGACUGAAGCCACCCAAUCCCUGAGGCAGUCUGGAUCUGUUGCUCAACCUGCACGGUGGCAUUUCAUCUGAGAGGAUGAUUGAGUGACGAGCCUGGAACAAAAUAAUUGCAAUAAUAUUAUUUGGUACCCAGUUUAAUGUAUUCAUUAAGAUUCACAAAGACCACAGAAAAGCUUCAUAUCUGGGGAAGUGCAGUGACCAAUAGGAAAAUGUACAUUUGUCAGGAAAAUAAUCAAAAUACUUGAAGUUAUUUCUCAGAGUCUCAAAGAAAAACAAGAUAAUCACAUAAUAAGAAACACUGUUGUCCCUCCUAUCACACUUUUUUAUAUUAUCAGCAAUUAUUUGAUGUUCCAGUCUUGCAAGUCUUAUGAAUAUGAGCAAAGUUUACUGAAACAAAUGAACCUGGAAAGGUCAGAUCCCUGCCUUGAAUAAAUACAUAUAGAUGAUUAUAUUCCUGUUUAGUCUCCUAGGUGUGGUGUGCUGCAGAGAAGCACAGAAACUCUUUUGUGAUGGUUUGUUUUCUUUUAUCCAGGUUUAAAUAAAAUGUCCUUCUUGCUGUUUCCCA
Molecule: long non-coding RNA, 856 nt
Organism: Neopsephotus bourkii (Bourke's parrot)
Lineage: Eukaryota; Metazoa; Chordata; Aves; Psittaciformes; Psittacidae
Exons: 3
Source: RefSeq, a predicted model, not a curated record